This 903-nucleotide ribosomal RNA is filed under the name uncultured Enterobacteriaceae bacterium. RNAcentral describes it as "bacterial SSU rRNA". The stretch from base 1 to 798 matches the Rfam family "Bacterial small subunit ribosomal RNA", at positions 28 to 873 of the family's 1533-position model. The record is from RNAcentral. Lineage: Bacteria; Pseudomonadati; Pseudomonadota; Gammaproteobacteria; Enterobacterales; Enterobacteriaceae.
AUUGAACGCUGGCGGCAGGCCUAACACAUGCAAGUCGAACGGUAACAGGAAACAGCUUGCUGUUUCGCUGACGAGUGGCGGACGGGUGAGUAAUGUCUGGGAAACUGCCUGAUGGAGGGGGAUAACUACUGGAAACGGUAGCUAAUACCGCAUAACGUCGCAAGACCAAAGAGGGGGACCUUCGGGCCUCUUGCCAUCAGAUGUGCCCAGAUGGGAUUAGCUAGUAGGUGGGGUAACGGCUCACCUAGGCGACGAUCCCUAGCUGGUCUGAGAGGAUGACCAGCCACACUGGAACUGAGACACGGUCCAGACUCCUACGGGAGGCAGCAGUGGGGAAUAUUGCACAAUGGGCGCAAGCCUGAUGCAGCCAUGCCGCGUGUAUGAAGAAGGCCUUCGGGUUGUAAAGUACUUUCAGCGGGGAGGAAGGGAGUAAAGUUAAUACCUUUGCUCAUUGACGUUACCCGCAGAAGAAGCACCGGCUAACUCCGUGCCAGCAGCCGCGGUAAUACGGAGGGUGCAAGCGUUAAUCGGAAUUACUGGGCGUAAAGCGCACGCAGGCGGUUUGUUAAGUCAGAUGUGAAAUCCCCGGGCUCAACCUGGGAACUGCAUCUGAUACUGGCAAGCUUGAGUCUCGUAGAGGGGGGUAGAAUUCCAGGUGUAGCGGUGAAAUGCGUAGAGAUCUGGAGGAAUACCGGUGGCGAAAGCGGCCCCUGGACAAAACUGACGCUCAGGGGCGAAAGCGUGGGAGCAACAGGGUAUAUACCCUAGUAUUCAAAGGGAAUGCAGCGGUGUAUCGGCUGGCGCGACCGUGGACGCAGGGGGGGGCGGGAGCCGGGUGUAGUUUUUUCCCAGAGAUCAAAAAAAACGGCCUUUUAAGAAGUACGAGGUGCAAGAUUUUAUUGU